GCGGGCGUGGCGGAAUUGGUAGACGCAGGGGACUCAAAAUCCCCCGGGCGCAAGCCCUUGUCGGUUCGAGUCCGACCGCCCGUACCA
RNAcentral lists this transfer RNA (87 nucleotides) under Oceanicaulis alexandrii. RNAcentral's name for it is "tRNA-Leu". It matches the Rfam family "tRNA". Rfam says of the family: Transfer RNA (tRNA) molecules are approximately 80 nucleotides in length. Their secondary structure includes four short double-helical elements and three loops (D, anti-codon, and T loops). Lineage: Bacteria; Pseudomonadati; Pseudomonadota; Alphaproteobacteria; Maricaulales; Maricaulaceae. The record is from RNAcentral. RNAcentral also lists the same sequence under 2 other names.